This 253-nucleotide ribosomal RNA is filed under the name uncultured bacterium. RNAcentral describes it as "partial 16S ribosomal RNA". It matches the Rfam family "Bacterial small subunit ribosomal RNA", at positions 524 to 776 of the family's 1533-position model. The record is from RNAcentral.
UACAGAGGUCCCGAGCGUUGUUCGGAUUCACUGGGCGUAAAGGGUGCGUAGGCGGCGGGGCAAGUCAGGUGUGAAAUCUCGGGGCUCAACCCCGAAACUGCACUUGAUACUGCCUUGCUCGAGUACUGGAGAGGAGACUGGAAUUUACGGUGUAGCAGUGAAAUGCGUAGAUAUCGUAAGGAAGACCAGUGGCGAAGGCGAGUCUCUGGACAGUUACUGACGCUGAGGCACGAAGGCCAGGGGAGCAAACGGG